AACACAAAAGUCAGAAAUGAGAGUUAAAGUCUGACGCUCGCACUCGACGAUUGAAACGCCUCUAACAAAUUGAUAUACAAUUAAUUUUUCAAUAAAAUGUAAGGAAUCGAAUGGUACCAUUUCUUGUUCUAUUUUUGAAUGAAAAAAAAAAAUUGUUUUUUGAGGGUUUAGAGCCUUGUAUUUUUUUAUAGUUUCAAUAUCAUUUUUUAAAUUCCAUCUUUUUUAUAAUGGAUGGCUCAUUUUCUACCCAUUUAACUAGAUUUUGUUAUAAUAUUCAACAUGUGUCAAGUACCCAAUUGACUAAUAAAGUAAUAACUUAGCUGCUAACUGCUACCAAUACUGGCGAGUGACGACAAAUAUUGCAACCCACUUUAAGAUAGGUAUUAUAUACUGUAUGUAAGCACUAGGACCCAACAUUAGUCACCAUCAAUCGUCAAAGCCAACAGACAUUGCACCACGUUACGUCUUGAUGAUAGAGAUCGUGAUAUAUGUCGCUAUCUCCAUAACCGUGACAUAAUAUGGCAUGUUGAAUAUAUACAGUGUAGCGACCUACGGAGCGGAUCACUGUACAGACCGGCAUUGGCUGAGGGUACAAUGCAACCUACUCGGUUCAAUCGACAAGUCUUACACUAAUAAUAGUAUUUUAUACAAUCGUGUCGUGAUAUAAGCUCUCCAGCUUUUUAUUUGUGCUUAAGUUAAGCUUUAAGUAAGCUUUCUGAGUGGCCUGAGUAAAAUACAAGAUUGAAAAGCUUGAUUUGAUUAUAUCACUAUUGUAUACAAUAUUUUUUGAGUCGACUAAAAUAAAACGUUUUCUACUAUAAAACCUAAGUAAUUAAACAAAAUUAGGUUAGUAUAUCAGUAGAUAGAAGGCUAGAACAAACUACAUCAACGAGAUUAUUUUUCAUUAAAAUGAAUCUCGUUGAUGUCUUUUUUGUCCUCUUGACCGCGAAAAAUUUAUUAUAGUUCACUAAAGCGUUUCAUAAUGAUGCCAUUAUAAUUGAGUCGGGAAGCCCAUAGUGAAAAGCCAGUAGUAGCUAUUUGCGCGUAUAGUUUGGUAUUCGAAGUCUUCAUUGUUAAUACAACCAUUAAAGUCCACGAAUAGAAAAAUAAAUAGUACAUUAUUGCAGAGGCCGGGAAAUGGCAAUUCGUGGAUGAGUUUCGAUUCGCGCUCCGCUACGCGUCGUCCGACAAAGAAGACGAAUCCACGAAUUGCUGUUCCUGCCGAGGCCUAUAUACUGCUUUUCUCCAAACAUGUGAGGAAAUCAGGUAAAAUAAUCAUAAUUUAAACAUGAACCAAAAAAACUCAAAUCAAACCUUCACAUCAAAAACGUCAAAAUCAAUUUCCCUCUUUAAUUAUUUUUUAAAAGUUAAAGGCACAACUAUUCUGCCAUUCAGUACCAUUCAAUAUUCGCUCAUUCAAUAUAAUUGUUCAAUAUAAGCUGUAUUUGCACGCAUGAGAUCCUUAAAAAAAUAUAAAAGUUAUA
Long non-coding RNA from Cydia pomonella (codling moth), 1484 nucleotides. RefSeq lists it as uncharacterized. The transcript has 2 exons. The record is from RefSeq and is a predicted model, not a curated record. NCBI's taxonomy places the organism in Eukaryota, Metazoa, Arthropoda, Insecta, Lepidoptera, Tortricidae.